Molecule: long non-coding RNA, 1976 nt
Organism: Papaver somniferum (opium poppy)
Lineage: Eukaryota; Viridiplantae; Streptophyta; Magnoliopsida; Ranunculales; Papaveraceae
Exons: 9
Source: RefSeq, a predicted model, not a curated record
UGCCCCCUGCUGCACCUGUGAAUACCGACCAUUAAAAUUGAAAUUCAUUCUUCCCCCUUUCUAAUAUCACCACCAUCGAAGUAUCUUUCUGUCUGUAGAACCCCAAAAGCAAAACCUGAUGGUCGUUGCAGCUGGUCCGAUAUCCUUGUUGUCUGUAAGAAGAGGAAAUCAAGAAAUUAUCAUGGGUUUUCAUUAUUGAGAGUUAAGAAGAGGAAUUUGAAAUUGAUUCUCAAAUUACAGCGAAGGAAUUAGAGGAUUAGGUUUCGUUUUACAUCUAAGAUUAAGAAGCUAAUUGAGAAAACUAGGGUUUUGUUUGUGCUAAAAAUCGAAGAAUUAAACAGAAUCAAUAAAUGGGUUUGUUUUAAUUAGGUUUAUAAUUGGUUUAUUAAUGGAUUCGAGUUUUAUGGAUUAAAGUUUCUAACAGAUUGGGGAUUUAGGGUUCAUGGAUUUGAAUUACAGAUGAAAAAGAUGAAACCGAUAGUGAGAAAUUAUAAGAAGAAAAUUGAAUUUGUGUCUGAGGUAAUCUUUCUUACUCAUUUGAAUUGAAUUUCUUUCAUGAACUUGUAUUAUGAAAUUUGGGUAUUGUUAUGCUCAAUUUUGAAUUGAAAAUUUGGUGGAAAUGGAGUUGAGUUUCUAGUGGUGUGUAGAAGGUUCUUAGUUUAAAUUGUCUAUUACAGGAAAAAGUUUUUAGAGGAGUAUAAUUGUUGCAGGUGGUGGUUUAAUGAGCUACAGAACUAUGAAGAUUGUGAUGGUGAUGUAAUUGAAAUAAUAGUGCGGUUGAUGUGGUCUUGAAUGAGCUACAAGAGUUGAUCUUAGUUUGGUUUAGAUUGUAAUGAUUUGAAUGGUGAUGGAUGAGUAUUGGUUGUGGUGAGAUGCUUUUGAUGAUGAUGCUAUGGUAAGUCAUAAUGGUUGUGACUGAAAGAUAUUGAAAUGAAUAGUGUUGCGGCUAUGAAGAUGGUGGUUUAAAUGUCUAUGUGGGUGAAUGAUAGUGAUGUAAAGGAAUGACGCUAAUCUGAAGAGAUUUGAAAUGUUCAUAAAUUUAGGCCAAGAUCUUGAAACAUGAGUGGCCAGCUAGGUGGUGAAAUUUUAUUCCGGAUCUUGUUUCAGCAGCGAAGACAAGUGAAACAAUAUGUCAGAAUUUCAUGGCUGUAUUAAAGCUUCUCAGUGAAGAGAUGUUGGACUUUUCACCUGGUGAAAUGAUUCAGCAGAAGAUCAAAGAGCUAAAAUAAUCAUUGAAUAGUGAGUUUCAACUUAUUCACGAGCUAUGCCUAUAUGUGCUAUCUGCAUCUCAAAGAACUGAGCUAUAAGAGCAACACUGGCUACGUUGCACGCUUUCCUUUCAUGGUUUCCUCUGGGCUACAUCUUUGAAUCCCCACUGGGUGUGGUAGCGUAUAAGAAUCUUAGUUUCCAAUGUUUGUCUGAGGUAACUUCCCUUCAGUUUAGAGACUUCUAUAACAUGAAGUAUAUGAAAAUGUACAUUGUUUUCAUUUCACAAUUACAGCCUUGUAGGGAUGGAGUUUGAGUCUAAUUUAAAGGAAGUGACGAGUGACGAUGCCCAUAAUUCACUAGUUAACCAGAAAGCUGUAUAAUCUUUAGCUGACCCUUAGGAGUACCCUAUCUUGUUCGAGGAUUGGCAGGUUGCUCCGUGGAAUCUAAAAUUUCGGAGACAAGGAGGUAGAAGAGAACGGAGAAGAACAUGAAGAGCAGGGAACCUAGGAAGAAGAGGUUGUUGAGGUCGAAACUGAUUCCACAGAUAUGAGCAAUAAAGCAACAAGAAGCUAUAUUUGAGCAUGUAGGUAAUGAAUGAUGUUGAGCUUGUCUCCAGGUCUUGUGCCUUUAAGAUUGUAUAUACCACUGCUAUUACACUUAUGACUUAACAUUACAACUGCAGAAUAUGUAUGUUCUGAAAUCUUGGGAAAUGUCUAUAUACUUGUCAUUCUUUUAAUACUAGGCAUAUAAUGCAGGGAACUUGAUUA